GCCCGCCUAGCUCAAUCGGAUAGAGCGUCAGACUCUUACGGCGUCUUUCGACUAGGCAAUCUGAAGGCUGCGAGUUCGACCCUCGCGGUGGGCU
Gloeophyllum trabeum ATCC 11539 is the source of this 94-nucleotide transfer RNA. It matches the Rfam family "tRNA". From Rfam's summary of the family: Transfer RNA (tRNA) molecules are approximately 80 nucleotides in length. Their secondary structure includes four short double-helical elements and three loops (D, anti-codon, and T loops). The record is from Rfam. Lineage: Eukaryota; Fungi; Basidiomycota; Agaricomycetes; Gloeophyllales; Gloeophyllaceae.